This 73-nucleotide transfer RNA is filed under the name Stegodyphus mimosarum. It matches the Rfam family "tRNA". From Rfam's summary of the family: Transfer RNA (tRNA) molecules are approximately 80 nucleotides in length. Their secondary structure includes four short double-helical elements and three loops (D, anti-codon, and T loops). Further hydrogen bonds mediate the characteristic L-shaped molecular structure. tRNAs have two regions of fundamental functional importance: the anti-codon, which is responsible for specific mRNA codon recognition, and the 3' end, to which the tRNAs corresponding amino acid is attached (by aminoacyl-tRNA synthetases). tRNAs cope with the degeneracy of the genetic code in two manners: having more than one tRNA (with a specific anti-codon) for a particular amino acid; and 'wobble' base-pairing, i.e. permitting non-standard base-pairing at the 3rd anti-codon position. The record is from Rfam by way of RNAcentral. Lineage: Eukaryota; Metazoa; Arthropoda; Arachnida; Araneae; Eresidae.
GCUUUUGUGGUGCAGUGGUCAGCACGCUCGGCACGCAUUCGAGAGGUCCGUGGUUCGAGUCCCGCCAAGGGUU